Molecule: long non-coding RNA, 625 nt
Filed under: Nicotiana tabacum (common tobacco)
Lineage: Eukaryota; Viridiplantae; Streptophyta; Magnoliopsida; Solanales; Solanaceae
Description: long non-coding RNA (NTAB_LNC017856)
Source: RNAcentral
UUUUACUGGUGGGCGACCUAGAACUGAAAGUAUUCCCGCAUUUUACUGGUGGGCGACCUAGAACAGAAAGUAAAAGGACAGAAAUGUAUGCCUCUGUUAUAUGGGCGGGCUCCCAACUUCAAUGCUAACUUAGGAGGAAAUGUGUCUCCUAUGGGUAAAAGUAAACUUAGGAGGAAAUGUGUCUCCUAUGGGUAAACUAAACUUAGGAGGAAAUGCGUCUCCUAUGGGUAAAAGUAAAUUUAGGAGGAAAUGCGUCUCCUAUUGGUAAACUAAACUUAGGAAGUGCGUCUCCUAUUGGCAGAACUAGACUUAGGAAGUGCGUCUCCUAUUGGCAAAGGCGUGGAAUGUAUUCCCUUGUUAUACAGGUGGGCGCCUAAAAUAUGCAAUGGACAGACAAGAAAAGUAUUCCUUCUCGUUAUUCAGGUGGGCGCCUGGCUUCAACAACAACUUUGAAAAUAAAAUCCUUUUCGAGGGCGGAUGAACCCAAAAUAUCCUAUUCGAGGGCGGAUGAACCCAAAAUAUCCUAUUCGAGGGCGGAUGAACCCAAAAUAUCCUAUUCGAGGGCGGAUGAACCCAAAAUAUCCUAUAUCCUAUUCGAGGGCGGAUGAACCCACAAUAUCCUAUU